This 241-nucleotide long non-coding RNA is filed under the name Cicer arietinum (chickpea). RNAcentral's name for it is "long non-coding RNA (CARI_LNC003191)". Lineage: Eukaryota; Viridiplantae; Streptophyta; Magnoliopsida; Fabales; Fabaceae. The record is from RNAcentral.
GAAUAAAUAAUAAUAAUAAUAAUAAUAAUAAUAAUAAUAAUAAUAAUAAUAAUAAUAAUAAUAAGAUUGAUGUUGUAUACCUUUCAAAAAAAUAUUGAUGUUUUCCAUACCAUGUAUAAUUGUUUUGGUAAACUUAUGUACGUGAUAAUUUAUUUUUAUUAUAGCAGAUUCGUCUCUUUAAUCUAAUGUAGUUCCUUAAUUUAUCAUUCACGCAUAACUAAAUAGUUAUUUUUUAUCAGCA